UAGUAACUGCGAGUGAAGCGGGAAAAGCUCAAAUUUUGAAUCUGGCGGUCUUCAUGGCUGUCCGAGUUGUAAUCUAGAGAAGCGUCUUCCGCGCUGGACCGUGUACAAGUCUCCUGGAAGGGAGCGUCAUGGAGGGUGAGAAUCCCGUCUCUGACACGGACUGCCAGUGCUAUGUGAUGCGCUCUCGACGAGUCGAGUUGUUUGGGAAUGCAGCUCAAAACGGGUGGUAAAUUCCAUCUAAAGCUAAAUACAGGCGAGAGACCGAUAGCGAACAAGUACCGUGAGGGAAAGAUGAAAAGAACUUUGGAAAGAGAGUUAAACAGUACGUGAAAUUGCUGAAAGGGAAACGCUUGAUGUCAGUCACGUCCGCCAGGGAUCAACCUUGCUUAUCGUUGGGUGCAUUUCUUGGUUGGAUGGGUCAGCAUCAGUUUCGAUCGUUGUAAAAUGGUCAAGGGAACGUGGCACCUCUAGGGGUGUGUUAUAGCCUUUGGUCGUAUGCAUCGGUGGGGACUGAGGAACUCGGCACGACCUUCAUGGUUUCGUGUCUAGGAUGCUGGCAUAAUGGCCUUAAGCGACCCGUCUUG
RNAcentral lists this ribosomal RNA (584 nucleotides) under Phylloporus pachycystidiatus. RNAcentral's name for it is "partial large subunit ribosomal RNA". It matches the Rfam family "Eukaryotic large subunit ribosomal RNA", at positions 81 to 656 of the family's 3401-position model. Lineage: Eukaryota; Fungi; Basidiomycota; Agaricomycetes; Boletales; Boletaceae. The record is from RNAcentral.